RNAcentral lists this ribosomal RNA (481 nucleotides) under uncultured bacterium. Its description in RNAcentral is "partial 16S ribosomal RNA". It matches the Rfam family "Bacterial small subunit ribosomal RNA", at positions 28 to 507 of the family's 1533-position model. The record is from RNAcentral.
GACGAACGUUGGCGGCGUGCUUAAUACAUGCAAGUCAACUGAAGCAGUGGUAGCAAUAUCGCUGUGGAGGUGGCGCACGGGUGAGUAACACGUAGGUAAUCUGCCUUCAGGUCUGGCAUAACUCCGGGAAACCGGGGCUAAUAGCAGAUGAUGCAGCGGCUCGACAUCGAGACAGUUGUUAAAGCUAUGGCGCCUGAAGAUGAGCCUGCGUCUGAUUAGCUAGUUGGCGGGGUAACGGCCCACCAAGGCAACGAUCAGUAGCUGGUCUGAGAGGAUGAUCAGCCACACUGGAACUGAGACACGGUCCAGACUCCUACGGGAGGCAGCAGUAAGGAAUAUUGCUCAAUGGGAGAAAUCCUGAAGCAGCAACGCCGCGUGAGGGACGAAGGGCUUUUGCUUGUAAACCUCUGUAGUGAGAGAAAAAAAUCCCAAUCUUUGGGACAUGAUGGUACCUCAAAAGUAAGCCCCGGCUAACUACGUG